This 1521-nucleotide long non-coding RNA is filed under the name Homo sapiens (human). Its description in RNAcentral is "non-protein coding lnc-ERV3-1-1:1". Lineage: Eukaryota; Metazoa; Chordata; Mammalia; Primates; Hominidae. The record is from RNAcentral.
AGAGCGCCUGCGCGGGAGGGUGACCACAGGCGGCCGGGCGGGAUGUCCUGUCCGCCGUCUUCAGCCCAGCCGCCACCACCCAUAAGCUAUGAGGAGGAGUUUACGACCACCUGGACUACUACCACCUGCGUGACUUCCCGGCCUGAGGGGUCCGCGCAGCAAAGGCCUGACGCUGCUGGAGCAGGCGCUGCGCACCUACCGGCUGGCGCCUGGUAGGCACGAGUGCAGGGUCGCCCAGAAGCUCCUCAAUGGCCGGCGCAAGUGCCAGCCAGCGCCAGCUGCAGCCCUGGCCGCGCACUCGCCUCAGCUGAGCCUGGGUAUGUGCACCCCCCAACACUUCCCCCAGCCAUGUUCCCGGGACCUCGGGAGCGUCCCCCACCGCCCGGUGCCAUUCGUGCUGGGCAGGGUCGGCCCCCUUUGAGGCUGCCCCGCGUUAGGGAGCUGCACCGCACCCCCACCAGCUUGACCUCUGACUGCCGUUGCAAUAGCAUUAAAGCCUUUGGAACUUUGUAGGGCCUUCACCAUCUCUGUCAUCUGGAGAAUUUGUUCCCAUCAGGAAUCUCCCACCUGGCAGUGGGACCAUGCUAGUAGCCUGUCCAUUUCCUGCAGAUAAAAAAGAGAGAAUUUCAGAACUUCCACAGAUGCCAGUGUUCUCUCCUUUUUUCACAUGGGAAAAUUCCCUUGAAACUCAUUUGAAGCUUGGACAAAAAUUCCACAGCUGUAUUCUUCAGGAUCACUUUGCAGAGUCUUCAAGACUCAGAUACAGAGGAAGCUUCAAUUCAACCUUUCAGAGAAGACAUUCCAGCUCGCAUGAUCUCAUCAACCAAGAGAAUGUUGGUGGCAAUCAGUGCUGAAAGGGGGAUAAAAAUUAGAUAGCUCAGAUGAUUAGGAGCCCUAAUUCGACUCAACUUCCCACUUCCAACUAAGCUGCACACGUUAACAUCCAAUUAAAUUUCCCCCUUCCCCUCUACACAUCAGAGGGCGAGUUCGGUUUCCAUACUUUUCAGCUGAUUACAUUAUUCAUGGGGGAAAAUGAGCGACUAAACAGAAAACACCAAAUGAAAAGAGUAUGAUGAUUCUCUAACAGUUUAGUUUUCAUUUUCCCAAACUUACCAGGAAUGAAGAAGCUGUUUCUUUACACAAUCGUUAUCCCAUAAUGCCUGCUUCUGCUGCUACCACGGGCUCACCUAAAAGGCAACCAAAGUAAGUUCAGUCAAUAAGAACCAACAAUACUGUGUGUGGCUUUGCUUAUCACCGAUGACUCAUUUCCUCCAGUAUUAACUAUGGGAAUUCAAAGCUUCUCUGUUAGCCCAAUUUUCUACUCUAAACCAUGACCCCUGUCCACAAUAUUUGAGGAGUGUCUGACUUCUACUUAGAAGACCUGAACACCCCUCUCUCCUUCUGGAUACAUUUCUGUUUACCCAUACUAAAGUACAGCACUGCAACUCUAAUCUGGCUAAAAUGGACUGAUCAUUUCCCUCAUUCCAGAAAUCUUUUUUAUUAAAUAAUAAUGUUGACAGC